CAGUCGCCGCGGUAAUACGGAGGGUGCAAGCGUUAAUCGGAAUUACUGGGCGUAAAGCGCACGCAGGCGGUUUGUUAAGUCAGAUGUGAAAUCCCCGAGCUCAACUUGGGAACCGCAUUUGAGACUGGCAAGCUAGAGUCUUGUAGAGGGGGGGUAGAAUUCCAGGUGUAGCGGUGAAAUGCGUAGAGAUCUGGAGGAAUACCGGUGGCGAAGGCGGCCCCCUGGACAAAGACUGACGCUCAGGUGCGAAAGCGUGGGGAGCAAACAGGAUUAGAUACCCGCGUAGUCCCUGUCUCUUAUA
This 301-nucleotide ribosomal RNA is filed under the name uncultured bacterium. RNAcentral's name for it is "partial 16S ribosomal RNA". It matches the Rfam family "Bacterial small subunit ribosomal RNA", at positions 509 to 808 of the family's 1533-position model. The record is from RNAcentral.